AUGGUUGAUUUUCAAAAAUAUUAUCUUGUUCUAUAUAUAAAAAAAAAGUGUAGGCUAUAUAAUAGUCCUAUUCCAUUUCAUAAGGAUCUCAUGGAUAUCACCAGCCAAAGUAAUUUACAAUUUACUUUUGCCUCUUAUAAUGAAUGGAUGCUUCAAGUCUGCUGCAACAAAUUACAUGGAUGCUAUAGUAAGGGAUGGAGAAGAUCAACUCAAAGCUUGUGAUCUAUGUUGAAAAGCAUGGCCAUGGAAACUGGUGUUCAGUUCCAGAGAAAGCGGGUCUUCAAAGAUGUAGAAGGAGCUGCAGACUGAGGUGGAUUAGCGACCUCAAACCAGAGACAACAUGAGGAAACUUUAGUUUCGCAGAGGAUCACACAAUUAUUGAACUCCAUGCUCUCGGGAACAAAUCGAUGGUCAAUCAUAGCAUCUCACUUGCCCAAUACAACAAAUAAUGAGAUCAAGAAUUAUUGGAACACCAACAUCAAGAAAAGGCUUAUGAGAAAGGGCAUACAUUCAAUUACUCACGGACAAAAAGCCACUACCUUUAAUUUGAAGACCAGUCAAAGGAUGCUGUCAAUAUGAAGCACAUAGAGCAACAAGAAAGUGCUAGAUUUGAAGCUAAAGCUAGAAAAUCCAUGCAAGUUGGAUCCAACUCUUUCAUUCCCCCGGUUCAUUAGAAUCACUAUCAACCAAACAUAACAACAUUGUAUAUAACAUUUAUGUUCUCAUGCUUGUUAUAUAUUAUGACCUUCAAUCACUAAUAUUCACAUUGAGCUUCUUAGGUAGAAAGCUUAUUAAUGUCUAAACUAAUGUAGGAUAAUUUACUAACAUUGCAACUUUCACUUUCAUAUAAGGAUUAUGAUAAUGUUAUAGAAAUUAGUAGUCAAAUUCAAAAAAUAAUGAAAAACUAUGUGUUAAACUUGUAAGAUGGUGACAUUAUGAUGGUUAUGAAUGUAAAAAUGACCUUCUAUAUUGGAUCAAGUUACAACCAAUGUAAAAAGUGAUUUACAUCCAUAACUAUCACAAUAUCAUCAUCUUGCAAGUUUGACACAUAAUUUUUUAUUAUCUUUUGAGUUUGACUAUUAAUUUCUACAAUAUUAUCAUAACCCUUAUAUGAAAGUGAACUUUCAAUUUUAGUAAUUAUCCUACAUUAGUUUGGAUAAUAAGCUUUUUACAUAAGAAACUCAAUGAGAAUAUUAGUGAUUGAAGGUCAUGAUAUAUAACAAGCAUGAGGAUAUAAAUGUUAUAUAUAAUGUUGUUGUGUUUGGUUGAUAGUGAAUCUAAUGAACCGGGGGAAUGAAAGAAUUGGAUUCAACGUGCAACAAGAAUUUUUUGCUCAUUGUUUAUUGUUUUUGGAUUAGUCACCACCAUAGGCUUUAAAGGUGUUGACUUUUAGUUUGUAGAUAAUGGAUCUAUACUAAUUUCAAUAAGUCCAUUUGUUUUUAAAAUUAA
Long non-coding RNA from Glycine soja, 1449 nucleotides. RefSeq lists it as uncharacterized. Lineage: Eukaryota; Viridiplantae; Streptophyta; Magnoliopsida; Fabales; Fabaceae. The transcript has 3 exons. The record is from RefSeq and is a predicted model, not a curated record.